UACGUAGGGUGCAAGCAUUAAUCGGAUUUAUUGGGCGUAAAGGGCGCGUAGGCUGGAUCGUAAGUCAGAUGUGAAAUCCCGGGGCUCAACCCCGGAACUGCCUUUGAUACUGCGAAUCUCGAGUCCGGAAGAGGUGAGUGGAAUUCCUAGUGUAGAGGUGAAAUUCGUAGAUAUUAGGAAGAACACCAGUGGCGAAGGCGGCUCACUGGUCCGGUACUGACGCUGAGGUGCGAAAGCGUGGGGAGCAAACAGG
RNAcentral lists this ribosomal RNA (253 nucleotides) under uncultured bacterium. Its description in RNAcentral is "partial 16S ribosomal RNA". It matches the Rfam family "Bacterial small subunit ribosomal RNA", at positions 524 to 776 of the family's 1533-position model. The record is from RNAcentral.